UACAGGGGGUGCAAACGUUGCCCGGAAUCAUUGGGCGUAAAGCGCGCGUAGGUGGCCCGGUAAGUCCGCUCUGAAAGUCACAGGCUCAACCUGUGAAAGCGGGUGGAUACUGCCGGGCUAGAGUCCGGAAGAGGCGAGUGGAAUUCCUGGUGUAGCGGUGGAAUGCGCAGAUAUCAGGAGGAACACCAACGGCGAAAGCACUCUGCUGGGCCGACACUGACACUGAGAGACGAAAGCUAGGGGAGCGAAUGGG
Molecule: ribosomal RNA, 253 nt
Filed under: uncultured bacterium
Lineage: Bacteria
Description: partial 16S ribosomal RNA
Rfam family: Bacterial small subunit ribosomal RNA
Source: RNAcentral